ACCUGCGUUAAUAGAUGCUAUCUCCUCCGCAUCCUUUCUAUCUCUUCAUAAAGUUCACUCGUAGAGAAAAAACCAGACCACCCAAAAUUUCUCCUCCUCUCUCAGAACUCCACCAUAGAAACCUAAUUAAGCCCUUACAUCAGAAAAUCUCACUAACAUUAACCUUUUACAUCUCUCAAUUGUACAACAGUUAGGUUUAAUUUUCAAAAUCAUCAUGUACAGGUAAAUCUCAACAGCUUUAGUUGUAGUUCUUCAUCAGGCGGAUUUCAACAGCUUAAGUUGCAGUUCAGAUUUUCAUCGUGUACAGGGUCUGGAACUGAUUUACCCAGAAAUAUUCAGGGAGUUCUUUCUUCAUUUUAGUGAUUUUCUCUUUUUUGAUGGAGAUUAAAGAGAUGGAUGAGGUUUUGGAGAUGCUGAUGCUGUUUUGUAGAUGGGUUUGUCUUCAAUCUCAAGACUGAUGCAGUGGAUUUGAGAAUUGCAGUUAGAGAACUGAAGAUGGAGUUGUUGCUGUGUGAGGUAGAGAUGAACAUGGAGUUUUGGCUUCAAGUUUAGAAGUGGAUUCGAAGUCAAGGAUGAGAAGGAAAUGUGGGGCGACUAUGUAAUUGAAACGAUGAAUAUGCAGAGAAGAUUAAUUAUUUGCAGUAUGCAGCUGGUGGUUGUGAUUAGGGGUUGGUGUGUUUAGAUGUAGCUGAACUGAAAUGCAAGUGUUGGUGGUGGCUUUGAUGUGGUGGACAAGAUGGUAUGUAGGUGGAUUUAUGAACUGGGAUUGUGGAAUUUCAGGUGGUACUGGUGGUGCUGAGAAAGAGAAUGGGAAGUGACAGUGGCUGGAUGUUGUUGAAUGCACUGGAAGUGGUAGUGCUGUUGUGAGACUUGAGGAGCAUGUUUUGCAAUUUUUAUACCUUGAAUAUCACCUGAGAAUUCUGCAUGAGUAAGAGCCCUUGUAAACACUUCCAUUGUGAUCAAGCAGAGAUAAGGUGAUAAUGGAUCACCUUGUCGAAUCCCUCAUGUUGGUUUAAAAGGAUGACAAGGUGAACCAUUCAGAAGAACUUGAAUUUCCGUAGUCGACAGGCAUUCAUGGACUAGAUCACACCAUUUAUUGCUAAAACCCAGUUUUAAAAUAACAUCCUUCGGAAAACUCCACUCUACACGAUCAAAAUCUUUACUCGUGUCCAGCUUCAUGGCCAGAUAAUGCUUCUUGUUCUUCUUCUUUUUUUAUAUAGUGAAUUAAUUCUUGGGCUAAGGUGAUAUUAUCACUUAUCUGUCUUCCCGGAAACAUAUGCAGCUUGCAUUGGGGAGAUGAAUUUAUCUAGAUGAGUCUUUAAUCUGGUUGCAAUUAGCUUUGUAAUCAGCUAGUAUGUAGAGUUGCACAGAGCGAUGGGCCUGUAGUCUCCUGGUGUGUUAAGAAGAUUAGUUUUAGGUAUAAGACAUAAAUUUGUCUUAUUCAUCUUCUUCAAAAGUCUCCCUGAAGUAAAGAAGGAUUGAAUCAUACUUAUAACAUCUUCUCUGACUAUUGACCAUUGAGAUUGAAAAAAACCGGGAGGAAAACCAUCAGGACCCGGUGCUUUUCAUGGCUGCAUACACUUUAGCAGUGCUCUAAUUUCAGUUUCAUCUGGGAUCCUUGUAAGCUCUAUAUUCACUUCAUCAGAGAUGCAAGCUGGGAGGAGAUCUAGAAGCUCAACGUCUCUUGGAGGAUUUGUAGUGCUCAUGAUGUUCUUGAAGUGUGAAGUUAAUAAUUCUUCAAGAUUGUUUCUUCCCGUACACCAACUUCCAUUCUGCUUCUGGAGAGUUUCUAUCCUGUUUCUAGCUCUUCUCUUGUUUGCUUGAAGAUGAAAAUGUUUUGUAUUUUGAUCCAGUUCAGGGAAUAGAGUUUCUCUGGAUUUUUGCCUGUAAAAUUCUUCUUCACGAGCAUGCGAUUCUUUAAUUUCCUUUUCAA
Long non-coding RNA from Papaver somniferum (opium poppy), 1933 nucleotides. RefSeq lists it as uncharacterized. The transcript is spliced from 5 exons. The record is from RefSeq and is a predicted model, not a curated record. Lineage: Eukaryota; Viridiplantae; Streptophyta; Magnoliopsida; Ranunculales; Papaveraceae.